UCGUGUUCGCAAAGUGAACUGCAGCAAUAAAAUCUACGUAGUAAAUGAGAGGCCCACCGCCCCACCCUUCCUCUUCUCCAAAAAUAUUCCUCCGCCUCUUCUCCUCCAAAAUCCCCCACAGUACUGUUGUUCUUCUCCCAACUCCAAAUCCCACAAAUUAAGUGCUUUCACGUUCUUCUCGCAGGAAUCUCCGAACUCUCAAAGGCCCAAGUGCAGGAGGAACAGAGCCUGUACCUCGCCCUUGCAUCUGCGCUGCUUUGGCCGCCGCCGCAGGAGGCGACAUGCUUGGGGCGUUGCUGGUCCUAGCCUGAAUGGCGUUCUUGGAAACAGGGUGUAGUACAGGCUGAACACUUCACCCAUCCCCCUCCAAGCGCGUGAAACAGGCAUCAUUUCAGUUGGUAUUUUUCUCUGAUUCGAUUUUCUCUGAAACAAAUUAGUUCAUUGUCCCCAUGUGUUGGAUAUAUCUGCUCUCUUUUGUUGCACCGGUAGCAGUGCAACAGUAGUAGUAUCAAGUACAGUAGUACUAGAUGAAUACCCCACACUUUUAGCAUCAGGGCACUAAAUUGUGCCCCAAGUAAGCAUACUGGGACUGUGUUGUGAGUUUUGCACCUGUUAAUGCUUAUAAUUUUGUGCAGAUCUCCAAUUUAGUACGGAAAAUGACAUCCUUACAAUCUUCAGUAGUGGACAGUCUACUAAGUAUAUUUUAUAUGCAUCUGCAGUUAUUUUACAUGUUGCCUCACUGUUUCACGCUAGCUACUCAUGCUCGUCUCAACUUAAAUUUGUGACAAAUCAUUUUAUCCUCCUUGUCAUUGUGUUCUCUUUUAUACCGGGGGUAAUAACUGUACACUUUUUGGUGCAUUUACUAUUAUGGUGCAUUUAGUUAUUCAUCUAGCAACCGAGGCAAAAAUAGGUGGUCCCGUGGCCUACCGUUCAAUGUGGUUUGUGGAAAGGUAUCUCGGUGUGUUGAAGUCAUAUGUUCGUAAUAAAGCUCAUCCAGCAGGAUCUACUGCAGAAGCAUGUUUGGCAGACGAGUGCAUGACAUUCUGCUCUCUCUAUAUUGAAGGUUUUGAAACCAAGCAUAAUCGGCCUUCAAGGAAUGAUGAGGACGAGGUGGCUGAUGUGGAACAAGGACCAACUCUCUUUCCUCAUGUUUGCAAACCACUUGGAAAGCCCGGUAAUUAUGUUAUAAGGGGUAUAGCUAGACUGCAGGCACAUAGAUAUGUGUUGUUCAAUUAGCUCAUGUUGAUGAGGUCACUAGCCAGCGUAACGUCUCCGCAGAUACCCUUGAGUCAAUGCAACAUGAAAACUUCCACAACUGGUUCAAAGCUCAUAUAAGCGUGUACUUCACAUCCUUUGUCUACUGAUACCAUUUACUAAACUAGUUAAUAUACA
Molecule: RNA transcript, 1392 nt
Organism: Brachypodium distachyon (stiff brome)
Lineage: Eukaryota; Viridiplantae; Streptophyta; Magnoliopsida; Poales; Poaceae
Exons: 3
Source: RefSeq, a predicted model, not a curated record